Molecule: RNA transcript, 1868 nt
Organism: Papaver somniferum (opium poppy)
Lineage: Eukaryota; Viridiplantae; Streptophyta; Magnoliopsida; Ranunculales; Papaveraceae
Gene name: acyl-CoA-binding domain-containing protein 6-like
Exons: 17
Source: RefSeq, a predicted model, not a curated record
AACUUUCCACGUGCUACAAGAAAGAGCUCGGAACUAGCCCGAGAUAGAGCAACAGAGAGAGAGAGAAUCAGUCCAGAAAAAUGCACAACUGGGUUAGAGCCGAUUCAACCGAUUUCAAUGGAACACUCCCCAAACGUCGAAGUGGUCAUACUGCAAUUAAUGUUGGGAAAUCCAAAGUCGUUAUAUUUGGUGGAUUACUCGAUAAGAAAUUUCUCACUGAUCUUACUGUACUCGAUACUGAGAGCAAUUUCUGGUAUCAACCAGAAUGCACCGGAAAUGCGUCAGACGGGCAAAUAGGUCCAAGUGCACGGGCGUUUCAUGUGGCUGUAGCCAUUGAUUGCAAUUUGUUUAUUUUUGGUGGCCGCGCUGCUGGCAAGAGGUUGGGAGACUUUUGGAUGCUCGAUACAGAUAUUUGGCAAUGGUCAGAACUAACUGGUUUUGGUGAUUUACCCUCCCCAAGAGAUUUUGCUUCUGCUUCGUCUAUCGGAAAUAGGAAAAUUGUGAUGUAUGGUGGUUGGGAUGGUAAAAAGUGGUUGUCAGAUGUUUAUAUCCUUGACACGAUGUCACUUGAGUGGACAGAGUUAUCAAUUUCUGGAUCUGUACCACCACCUAGAUGUGGGCACACAGCCACUAUGGUCGAGAAGCGAUUGCUUGUGUUUGGUGGUAGAGGAGGUGGCGGGCCAAUCAUGGGGGACUUGUGGGCUUUAAAGGGUAUUAUUGAUGGAGAGAAUGAAGCACCAGGUUGGACCCAGCUGAAGCUUCCUGGCCAACAGCCUUCUCCCCGUUGUGGCCAUACAGUGACUUCUGGGGGACAUAAUCUCUUAUUAUUUGGAGGGCAUGGCACUGGUGGUUGGUUGAGUCGAUAUGAUGUCUAUCACAAUGACUGCAUUGUCUUAGAUAGAGUGUCUGUGCAAUGGAAGCGUUUACCUACCAGCAAUGAACCCCCUUUAGCUCGAGCGUACCACACAAUGACUGCUGUCAGGUCUCGUUAUCUUUUAUUUGGUGGGUUUGAUGGAAAAUCUACAUUUGGUGAGCUGUGGUGGUUGGUUCCUGAAGAUGAUCCAAUUGCAAGAAGGUUGACUUCACCCCCUUCAAAUAAUAUAUCAGAAAGUAAUACUGGAUCUGCACAGGAUGUUGCACUCCAAUCGGCAAGGGAUAGCAAUAAUGAGGAAUCUCCGAUUACAGAAUUAUUUAGAAGACUGAAAAUAUCAGUUUCACCUUCAUCUGAGUUUGGUAUCGUAGAUGAAUUGGAUGACAAAGAAUUUCUAGAAGUAGCAUCAAGGUUGACCAGAGAAGUAGUAUCCAACCAUGAACGGGACACACUUAUUCAGUCAGUGCGUAGUCACUGGGUUAGUUCUACACCAAGGUCUAUACCAUUAAAAGAGCUAGGCCCCUUGCUGCGAGACUACAAACGUUUGAUUUUCCGCCACCACUUAGGUAAUGGUGGAUCCGAUUUAUCGCCUAUGAAGACUGGGACUUUAGGAGAGGAGAUUUAUCAGUUUUAUCACACCAAAACUGCAUCUCAGUUGCGCAUGGGUGAUAUUCCAAAGCUGUUAACCGAGUACAAGCGACUUGUAUCUAAGUGAAAAGUGGCUUGCAGACUAUUUCGCAAUAAACAAAUUAAUACUGCAAGUCAUCUCAGGUUAUAAUGAACAGAAAUAGCUUUAAAGGGUAUCAGGUCCAACUUUCUUUAUUAUAACAAAUUGGUGAGAAAUUACCAACAUGCCAUUUACUAAAGCCAGUGAGGUUCUACUUUCAUCUUUAUUGUUUAUUAAAGAUAGUUUCUCUUAUUAAACCCUUUACACCAUUGCAGUUUCUUUACGUUAUUAAAACCUAAUACCAUAAUCUUCUUACCCUUUUGUCUUUAC